Coprinopsis cinerea okayama7#130 is the source of this 72-nucleotide transfer RNA. It matches the Rfam family "tRNA". Rfam says of the family: Transfer RNA (tRNA) molecules are approximately 80 nucleotides in length. Their secondary structure includes four short double-helical elements and three loops (D, anti-codon, and T loops). NCBI's taxonomy places the organism in Eukaryota, Fungi, Basidiomycota, Agaricomycetes, Agaricales, Psathyrellaceae. The record is from Rfam.
UCUCCGUUAGUAUAUCGGUUAGUACACGCGCCUGUCACGCGCGAAAGCUGGGUUCGACUCCCAGACGGAGAG